Molecule: long non-coding RNA, 740 nt
Organism: Xiphophorus couchianus (Monterrey platyfish)
Lineage: Eukaryota; Metazoa; Chordata; Actinopteri; Cyprinodontiformes; Poeciliidae
Exons: 2
Source: RefSeq, a predicted model, not a curated record
CUGACCUGAAAAUCUGUGGUCUGAAAACAUGAAGGCGAAAAUAAUCAGAGAGAUGAAGCAAAAACUGCAGUCCAGUUUAUCUUCUAGCAGUUUGAUUCAGUAAUUUGCAGCAAACACAUAAUCAAAAAGCAACAACAGUGCAGUGAAAAAGAUGUGAAAGUUUAUUUCAUCUUUAUUUAUACUUUUGAAUCUCAUUGAGACACAAGUUAUAACUUUCAAGUCUGACUGUAACGUAAUAAAACAUUUCAUAAUGUCCAGCAUUCAUAUAACCAAUAAACUGAGAAAAUUCAGCAAUAAAAAAAGAGAAAAGUGUGAAAACAGGAAGAGACAUGUGGUGCUUUUACUGCAAACAUGUUUAAAUCCCUUCAGAUUUCCAGUUUCAGGAUCUGUUUUCGUUUUUCUUUCCGGGGAAAUGUCUGAAGGGAAAACGUGUCUGUGGUUUUAUGUCACAUUGAUGGAAAUGAGCGAAUUUUAAUCCUCCACACAGAAUCAAGAUUCAUGGGAAUCCUCUGAACUCCAGCUGUGUUUCUCCCUUCUACCUGAUCUACAGCCAACAAUCAAACCACUAGGAACAUCAGUUCUCUGGAAGUGAGUGACCUCUGACCUCCUAUGAAACAUAAACAGCUGGAUUCAACGGUAGACGUUGUGCAACCAGAAACAAAGACAUGUUGAUUCAACUUUUACACCGUUUCCAUCUUACAAACACUUUCUUUUUCAAAAAUAAAAAUCUUAAAAGUGUG